GCCGGUGUAGCUCAGUGGUAGAGCAGCGCUUUUGUAAAGCGAAGGUCGUGGGUUCGAAUCCCACCUCCGGCU
This 72-nucleotide transfer RNA is filed under the name bacterium. Its description in RNAcentral is "tRNA-Thr". It matches the Rfam family "tRNA". Rfam says of the family: Transfer RNA (tRNA) molecules are approximately 80 nucleotides in length. Their secondary structure includes four short double-helical elements and three loops (D, anti-codon, and T loops). The record is from RNAcentral.